GCCCCGAGCCCCGCCCCGCCCCGCCCGGCGUCGGCGCGCGCCAACGGGUUCCUCCUCCCGGCGGAGAUCGGCGUGGAGGCUCCCCGGGCGGCUCCGGGCUGCCGGGUCGGUAAUCCCUUUAGGCACCGGACAGUCCGCCUAGGCAUUUGCCAUAAGGAUAAAUAUGGAGGAGCAUUUUAGGCAGAAAACAGAAGCAAAGUUGAAGAGUGACUGAUUCAGAACGUGUGCCGUCCCCAGGACUUUUUCUGGAACCAUGAGAGGAAAGGAGAGAAGUUCUUAUUCUGGAUUGCAGAGAAGAGGGUGAGCUCAGAGCUACUGACUAUGUGUGCUACUGGAAUUUGAACCCAGAGCCUUGAAGUACUAAACGCACUCUGUCGACUCCUAGGCAACUAACUUUCUUCGCUCUGUUUAUUGACACUGGAGAAGAACCAGCUUAAGAUGAAGCCAGCAAUGAGCAGAGAGCAGGAGUAGAAACAGAUACCAGCGAAUUAAUUUAUGUCUCUAAGUGUAGAAGCUCCCUAGCUUCCACCCCCAGGUUAUCCCGACAUUUUGUUGUUGCUGUAACAUUUAAUUUAAUUGUAACAUUUUAACAGAAAGACUGACACAAAAGUAUUAUGGUUUGCCAUAACAUAGUGUGUUAUACUUGGGACUAGUGUGACUGUGGAGGUAGGUAGGGGCUAGAAUGUGAAGGCUUAAGGAAUAGACCUUUAUUGUAUAGCUAUGAAAGGGUUAAAGCAACAGUAUCCCCAACAAACCCAUCGGAACCAGAAACACACUGCUAGGAACAUUUAGUUCCUCACACUUUGAUGAGGCGUUCACUUUUGCUCUUCUGGUUCCCUCUGAUAGUUACAGAACUUUUACAAUUGGGAAAGGAGAGCUAGGGACAUGACUGUGACCAGAGCAGUGUCCUCCAACCAGGGUGCUGUGCAUUAUCCCAACAAUCACUGAAACAAGUUUGACAAAUGAGUUAUUUAUGGGGGCCAAGCGUGGAGGGGGAGAAUCCCAAAAACUCUUUCUAGAGAAUAGAGUUUAGGGUUGUUUAUGGAAUAACCCAGCAGAAAGACUUAAAGCGAAUGCUCAGAGAUGGCUAGCAUGGUAUGGAUGUGGAAUUUGGGCCUCUCUGACAUUAAAAGGGCACAGAACAGAAACUGCAGGAUCAAACAAGAGUCAGAUCACUUCAACAAAAGCAGCCUUUAAGCUCCUGGAAGGUAAUCUGGCAGCCAUUGGCAUCUCUACCCACGUGCCAGAGGUGCUGUCUGUCUGUCUGCAGCAAAGCCUGUGGGAGCCUCAUAAUACAUACCUCAGCUGUGACCUCGAGAGCUCGUCAUUUCAAAAUCCAAUUAGAAACAGCUAAGGGGGGUUUGAAAGGUUGCUUAGGGUAAGUAAGAGUAGGUCAUCUGUGUGUAUUUAUCAAAGUUAGGAAACUGGUUUCUCUGUGUAGCCCUGGCUAUCCUGGAACUCACUCUGUAGAGCAGGCUGGCCUCGAACUCUGAAAUCCACCUACCUCUGCCUCUCAAGUGCUGGGAUUAAGGAUGUGUUCCACCACCACCACAGGGUUUAAGACAGGGCCUUGAUGGUAACAUUCUUGGGGAUGUUUCUGGUUUCUUGGAGAGAUGUUUCUAAGGUGCAAAAGGUACACAUUAACAACUGUAACUAUUUUUGAUUGUUUGUUUGUUUUGGUCAGGGUUAUGCUGGCCUCAAAUUUAUAUCUCCUGCUUCAAGCUCUUAAAUGCUGGGAUUACAGUCAUAUGCCACUGCAUCAGCUAUAAAGACCUUUUGAUAAGUACCCAGCAGAUGGUUGUGUCUCAAGGAGCAAAAAUUAGGUAUUAGUAGCAUCUCUGUUAAUUUUCUAUUGCUGCAAUAAGACACCAUGGCCAAGGUAGUUAAUUAUAGUGUUUAUUUGGGGCUUACAGUU
Peromyscus leucopus (white-footed mouse) is the source of this 1915-nucleotide long non-coding RNA. RefSeq lists it as uncharacterized. Lineage: Eukaryota; Metazoa; Chordata; Mammalia; Rodentia; Cricetidae. The transcript is spliced from 3 exons. The record is from RefSeq and is a predicted model, not a curated record.